AGGAUGAACGCUGGCGGUCUGCUUAACACAUGCAAGUCGAACGGAGUACCUCGGUACUUAGUGGCGGACGGGUGAGUAACGCGUGAGAAUCUGCCCUUAGGUCGGGGACAACCAUUGGAAACGAUGGCUAAUACCGGAUAAGCCGAGAGGUAAAAGAUUAAUUGCCUAGGGAAGAGCUCGCGUCUGAUUAGCUAGUUGGUGAGGUAAAGGCUCACCAAGGCAUCGAUCAGUAGCUGGUCUGAGAGGAUGAUCAGCCACACUGGGACUGAGACACGGCCCAGACUCCUACGGGAGGCAGCAGUGGGGAAUUUUCCGCAAUGGGCGAAAGCCUGACGGAGCAAGACCGCGUGAGGGAGGAAGGCUCUUGGGUUGUAAACCUCUUUUCUUGGGGAAGAACAAAAUGACGGUACCCAAGGAAUCAGCAUCGGCUAACUCCGUGCCAGCAGCUGC
Molecule: ribosomal RNA, 450 nt
Filed under: uncultured bacterium
Lineage: Bacteria
Description: SSU rRNA
Rfam family: Bacterial small subunit ribosomal RNA
Source: RNAcentral